CCUACGAGUGGCAGCAGUAGGGAAUCUUCCACAAUGAGCGAAAGCCUGAUGGAGCAACACCGCGUGGGUGAAGAAGGUCUUCGGAUCGUAAAGCCCUGUUAUUAGGGAAGAACAUUCGCGAUAGUAACUGAUUGCCUCCUGACGGUAUCUUGCCAGACAGCGAUGGCUCACUACGUGCCAGCAGCCUCGGGAAUACGUCGGUCGCAAGCGUUAUCCGGAAUUAUUGGGCGGAAAGGGGUCGUAGGCGGUUUUGUAAGUCUGGUGUGAAAUCCCUGGGCUUAAUCCCCGUUGUGCAUUGGAUACUGGGAGACUGGAGUGCAGUAGAGGUAAGCGGAAUUCCAGGUGAAGCGGUGAAAUGCGUAGAUAUAUGGAAGAACACCAGAGGCGAAGGCGGCCUACUGGGUCGAAACUGACGCUGAGGGACGAAAGCGUGGGGAGCAAACAGGAUUAGAUACCCUAGUAGUC
This 465-nucleotide ribosomal RNA is filed under the name uncultured bacterium. RNAcentral describes it as "partial 16S ribosomal RNA". It matches the Rfam family "Bacterial small subunit ribosomal RNA", at positions 338 to 795 of the family's 1533-position model. The record is from RNAcentral.